AUGAUAAUCAGUUCUGCACCAGAGUACCACGAGACACGUGAAACCUUGUGGGAAGCAGGGAGGACCACCUCCCAAGGCUAAAUACUACCUGAUGACCGAUAGUGAAGCAGUACCGUGAGGGAAAGGUGAAAAGAACCCCGGGAGGGGAGUGAAAUAGAACCUGAAACCAUGUGCCUACAACCGAUCAGAGCACCUUAUGUGUGUGAUGAUGUGCUUUUUGUAGAACGAGCCAACGAGUUACGGUAUGUAGCGAGGUUAAGUACUUAAGGUACGGAGCCGAAGGGAAACCGAGUCUUAAUAGGGCGACUAGUUGCAUGCUGUAGACCCGAAACCGGGUGACCUAUCCAUGGCCAGGUUGAAGCGAGGGUAAAACCUCGUGGAGGACCGAACCACGUUGCUGUUGAAAAAGCAUGGGAUGAGCUGUGGAUAGCGGAGAAAUUCCAAUCGAACUCGGAUAUAGCUGGUUCUCCUCGAAAUAGCUUUAGGGCUAGCGUCGGAAAAUGUGAGUAGUGGAGGUAGAGCACUGAAUAGGCUAGGGGGCAUAGCGCUUACCGAACCUUAUCAAACUCCGAAUGCCACAUACUAUCAGUCCGGCAGUCAGACUAUGAAAGAUAAGUUCCAUGGUCAAAAGGGAAACAGCCCAGAUCGUCAGCUAAGGUCCCAAAGUGUAAGUUAAGUGGAAAAGGAUGUGGGAUUUCUAAGACAACUAGGAUGUUGGCUUAGAAGCAGCCACUCAUUAAAAGAGUGCGUAAUAGCUCACUAGUCAAGAGAUCCUGCGCCGAAAAUGUCCGGGGCUCAAACUUACCACCGAAGCUACGGGUUCACGUUUAACGUGAGCGGUAGAGGAGCGUCGUAAUCGGGCUGAAGUCGUACCGUAAGGAGCGGUGGACUGAUUACGAGUGAGAAUGUUGGCAUUAGUAGCGAGAUGUAGGCGAGAAUCCUACAGGCCGAAUAUCUAAGGUUUCCUGAGUAAAGUUUGUCUUCUCAGGGUUAGUCGGGACCUAAGGCGAGGCCGAAAGGCGUAGUCGAUGGACAAUUGGUUGAUAUUCCAAUACCACUAUAAUCGUUAUUAUCGAUGGUGUGACGGAGAAGGAUAGGAUGUGCUAGCUAUUGGAUGCUAGUCUAAGCGUUUAGGGAGUUGGGAUUGGCAAAUCCGUUCCAACAAUUCUGAGGCGUGAUGGGGAAGGUUCUACGGAACCGAAGUAUCUGAUUCCAUGCUUCCAAGAAAAGCAUCUAGAGAGAGAAGUAGUGCCCGUACCGCAAACCGACACAGGUAGAUGAGGAGAGAAUCCUAAGGCCGACGGAAGAAUUGCAGUUAAGGAACUAGGCAAAUUGACCCCGUAACUUCGGGAGAAGGGGUGCCUGAGAAAUCAGGCCGCAGAGAAUAGGCACAAGCAACUGUUUAACAAAAACACAGGUCUCUGCUAAAGCGAAAGCUGAUGUAUAGGGGCUGACGCCUGCCCGGUGCUGGAAGGUUAAGGGGAACACUUAGUGGUAAC
This 1499-nucleotide ribosomal RNA is filed under the name Clostridium beijerinckii. RNAcentral describes it as "bacterial LSU rRNA". It matches the Rfam family "Bacterial large subunit ribosomal RNA", at positions 389 to 1900 of the family's 2925-position model. The record is from RNAcentral. Lineage: Bacteria; Bacillati; Bacillota; Clostridia; Eubacteriales; Clostridiaceae.